RNAcentral lists this ribosomal RNA (436 nucleotides) under uncultured bacterium. RNAcentral's name for it is "partial 16S ribosomal RNA". It matches the Rfam family "Bacterial small subunit ribosomal RNA", at positions 28 to 507 of the family's 1533-position model. The record is from RNAcentral.
GGCGAACGCUGGCGGCAGGCUUAACACAUGCAAGUCGAGCGGGCAUCCUUGUGGUGUCAGCGGCAGACGGGUGAGUAACGCGUGGGAACGUGCCCUUCGGUUCGGAAUAACUCAGGGAAACUUGAGCUAAUACCGAAUACGCCCUUUUGGGGAAAGGUUUACUGCCGAAGGAUCGGCCCGCGUCUGAUUAGCUAGUUGGUGAGGUUACGGCUCACCAAGGCGACGAUCAGUAGCUGGUCUGAGAGGAUGAUCAGCCACACUGGGACUGAGACACGGCCCAGACUCCUACGGGAGGCAGCAGUGGGGAAUAUUGGACAAUGGGGGCAACCCUGAUCCAGCCAUGCCGCGUGAGUGAUAACAGCCUUAGGGUUGUAAAGCUCUUUUCUCCGGGACGAUAAUGACGGUACCGGAGGAAUAAGCCCCGGCUAACUUCGUG